Molecule: long non-coding RNA, 2314 nt
Filed under: Mytilus galloprovincialis (Mediterranean mussel)
Lineage: Eukaryota; Metazoa; Mollusca; Bivalvia; Mytilida; Mytilidae
Source: RNAcentral
GUGUUUCCCACUGUUUUAGUUUGUCAACUGGAAUUGUUGUUGUCUCAAUCGAUUUAUGAUUUUCGAACAGCGGUAUGCUACCUAUGUAGAUGAUGUACUUUCCCUACAUAAUUCAAAAUUGGGGGACUUUUUUGACUGCACAUGGAAUAAAUAAACUCAUCAUAUAUACCAGGAUUAAAAUUUUGUAUUUUCACCAGAUACACGUGUUGUCUAUAAAAGACUCAUCAGUGACGCUCGAAUAAAAAAAUGUUAACGGCCAAAUAAAGUACGAAUUUGUAGGGUAUUGAGGUCCAUUGAGAUUUGCCAAAUGCAGCUAAGGUAUUCUAAAAGCCUUAGUAUUUCAAAAAUUAAAAGUAUGGAAACUACUUAUAGAGUAAGAUCUGCAUAAUAUUUUGAUCAACAUAUAUAAUCAUAGGAUCAUGUAGUUUUAUGUAUUGACGCUUUAAUAAAUAAAAGGGAGCUAUAAUCUAUUAAAAAUGUAGAUUUGAUGACACUGCUGGAUGAGGUUUCCUCCCCGAUGGUAUCACUAACCCAGUAGUUAGAACUCUCUGUUUACCUGAUUUAACAUUAAUGUGUCAUCUUUAUAAAUGAGCAAUACAUCUAACUUUGAAUUGUGGAAACACAAAGAAUUUCAACCUCAGAAAUAGAUUACAUUAUCUGGUUUUUUUUUGCAUUAUCUUUCAGAACCGUUAGGCCACUGUUCUUCAACUUGGUACUCAACUGUUUUAAUUCAAGUGUCACUGGGGAGCUUUUAUGUAGACGAAACGCUCAUAUUGUGUAAAUUAUACGACUGGUAUCUUUAAUCCGCUUUUGUCAAUUAUAAACGGUAUUGUAGCCAUUAUAAUUCGUGGAUGUCAGGAAUUCAUACAACCUUAUGCGUAUAAAGAGCGGCGAAAUCCAAAGUGAAAUUCAAACUUAUGAGUUGAAAAAAAAUUGUCAACGCCAUGGCAAAAAAAAAAAAACCACCACAAACAGACAAACAAAGGAUAAAAUUAAACUAAACACUAAAAACAAAAAACGACUAAGUAAUAUGAACCCGACAAAAAGUACUCAAGAAGGGUAAACAGAUCCUGCUCCACAUGUAGCAUCGUCGUGCUUGUCAUGCAAGUAUAAACCCGGUUACAAAUGUAAUUCGUUAGGUAACAAUCGGGGAAAGUUGACGGGAUUGUACUUGCAACAAUUUGAACAUAUUUGUCGUCAUCUGAAAAACAGAUAUUUCAUAACGGUCUACCAACUCGUGAUUGCGUCCGUAAAAUUUAUAACGGGACGAUGUCAACUUAACCACUUUGAAAUCAUGAUAUGUAAUAGCGAUUUUGUGAGUCGCAACCCUAUAUCAAGAAAUCAUGAUAGAAAACGCAAGCCCUGGAAUAUCGUAUUAUCUGGAAAAUAUAUACUCCGUAUUCAAGCGCUUCUGGAAUGUUGUUACAUUGAAAUAACGCAUGAAACCAUAUUCCCGUCCCCAUCUAAAAGCAGAGAUGAUUUAAUUGUGAAACAGGAAAAUAAUUACAUAUUUAAAGCUAUAUCAAUCAUUUUGUUAUGAAGAAAACUGUAAAAAUAAGAACCAACAUCUAUUAACCCACAUAUGACUGUUAACAGUAAUACAUAUCAUUCAUAAAAAAUCUUAUUUGUAAACUGUUUGAACGUAAAAUUUAAAUACAGUUUACCCACGCUUACUAUAAGGAAAUACCAUAAGGAAAAAUAACCGAAAACCUGCCAUUGAGUCUAUAUUUUAAUUUCAAAAUUGAUUUUAAUAAUUCAUAUGACCUAUUGCUUAAAGAUGCAAUGACUGCCAAUCAACAUUUGACAAACGAUUCAUAAGAUGCGUUGUUUAAUAUGUAACAGAUAAUUAAAGCAAGUUAGGAGGGAAUAUUCUUGAAGGAAAACAAUGCACAGUUAAAUGAUGCUGUCCUUUUCGGUAUUAGUCAUUGAAAUUUAUCUUUAUGGUAACAGGGGAACUGUCAUAUUCUUAAUUUUAUGGGAGAAAAAUAUAAUAAUCAACCUAUAGUAUACUGUCAGAUAAUGAUUGCCCCUAUUUUCCAUAUUUAAGGUCAAACAACUAAUUGAUAAGGUGACUUAAUUUGUUACACACCAUAGGGGGUUCUGUAAUAAACCUGUAAGAAUGACAUUGACAGCAUGAUUCCUGAAAGUCAGAUAAACAGAUGUUUGAUUUGACUGAUUAAUAUUUUUAUCUUAGAUACAUGAGCUUUGUAUAUAGAAGAAGAUGCUUUAUUUGCAUAAAAUGGGCUCACAAGGAGCAUACUAUAAUAUCAUUAUAAUAUUAUUAUUUUACAAAUAAACAAUACAGUAUACAUAG